GCUGUCCUUGUGAUAGUGAGUGGGUUCUUGCAAGAUCUGGUUGUUUAAAAGUGUAUGCCCCCACUGCCUUCCCCUCUCAUUCUUGCCAUAUGAAAUGCACAUUCCCUCUUCGCCUUCCACCACGAGCAGAAGCUUCCUGUGGCCUCCCCUGAAGCAGAUGCUGGCAUUGUGCUUCUUGUACAGCCUGCAGAGUCAUGAGCCAAUUAAACCUCUUUCCUUAUAAAUUACCCAGUCUUGGGUAUUUCUAAUAGCAAUGCAAGAACAGCCUAACACACUAGGUCUAGAUAUGACAAAUUCCUUUAGCGUUUGCUUGUCAGGAAAGACUUUAUUUCUUCUUUGUUUGUGAAGCUUGGUAUUUGGUGAUUACAUAGUCAUAAAUAACAUGGUUAAGCAUUUGUAACCUUCAUAUCUCUGUGAAUAACUGCGAAGAAUUGCCUUCUUAUGCCCUUAGGCUUGGCCAGUUUGUCAUAUCUUGUUGGCAUUCUUUUAUUUUUUGGUAACUAUACAAAUCUCACUACAUUGUUUGUAUUAUUUAAAUAGUUAAUCCAUUUAGAAUUUCUAUAAAUUAAAUGUGUUAGUUAAUAUCUAGAGGCACAUGUGAAAUAAAUAAUUUUUAAAAUGUGUUAGUAACUAUAUAGGAAAAUAAAUGGAUUUUUAUUUACAUAUCAUAACAUUUUAACAAGAAAAAUGUUCCAAUUAUUACUCUAACAAGAACAAAAAACCAAUUUUUCUAUUUUGUUCCAUAUUUUGAAAGAUUUGUUUUCCUUUUUAGAUGCAGACCAACAACGAAGAGAGAAACUCAAAAAGGAAUUAGCACGAUGUGAAAAAGAGUUCAAAUUAACUAAAACUGCAAUACGAGCCAAUUCUAAAAAUAAUUCCAAGUCACUUUUUAACACCUUACAAAAGCCCUCAGGCGAACCGAAAAUUGAGGAUGACGUGUUAAAAGAAGAAAUGAAUGGAUUUUCAUCCUUUGCAAGGUCACUAGUACCCUCUUCAGAGAGACUACACCUAAGUCUACAUAAAUCCGAUAAAGUCAUCACAAAUGGUCCUGAGAAGAACUCCAGUUCCUCCCCGUCCAGCAUGGAUUAUGCAGCCUCCGGGCCCCGGAAACCGGGCUCUGGAACCCUGUAUGGCAGAAGGCCCAGAAGCACAUUCCCAAAUUCCCACCGGUUUCAGUUAGUCAUUUCGAAAGCACCCAGUGGGGAUCUUUUGGAUAAACAUUCUGAACUCUUUUCUAACAAACAAUUGCCAUUCACUCCUCGCACUUUAAAAACAGAAGCAAAAUCUUUCCUGUCACAGUAUCGCUAUUAUACACCUGCCAAAAGAAAAAAGGAUUUUACAGAUCAACGGAUAGAAGCUGAAACCCAGACUGAAUUAAGCUUUAAAUCUGAGUUGGGGACAGCUGAGACUAAAAACAUGACAGAUUCAGAAAUGAACAUAAAGCAGGCAUCUAAUUGUGUGGCAUAUGAUGCCAAAGAAAAAAUAGCUCCUUUACCUUUAGAAGGGCAUGACUCAACAUGGGAUGAGAUUAAGGAUGAUGCUCUUCAGCAUUCCUCACCAAGGGCAGUGUGUCAGUAUUCCCUGAAGCCCCCUUCAACUAGUAAAAUCUAUUCUGAUGAAGAAGAACUGUUGUAUCUGAGUUUCAUUGAAGAUGUAACAGAUGAAAUUUUGAAACUUGGUUUAUUUUCAAACAGGUUUUUAGAACGACUGUUCGAGCGACAUAUAAAACAAAAUAAACACUUGGAGGAGGAAAAAAUGCGCCACCUGCUGCAUGUCCUGAAACUAGACUUAGGCUGCACAUCGGAGGAAAACUUGGUAAAGCAAAAUGAUGUUGAUAUGUUGAAUGUAUUUGAUUUUGAAAAGGCUGGGAAUUCAGAACCAAAUGAAUUAAAAAACGAAAGUGGAGUAACAAUUCAGCAGGAACGUCAACAAUACCAAAAGUCUUUGGAUGUGUUAUUGUCAGCACCAGAGGAUGAGAACGAGAUAUUCUCUUCACCAACUGAAUUUUUCAUGCCUAUUUAUAAAUCAAAGCAUUCAGAAGGGGUUAUAAUUCAACAGGUGAAUGAUGAGACGAAUCUUGAACCUUCAACUUUGGAUGAAAAUAAUCCAAGUAUUUCAGACAGUUUAACAGAUCAGGAAACUUCUGUGAAUGUCAUUGAAGGUGAUAGUGACUCUGAGAAGGUUGAGAUUUCAAAUGGAUUAUGCGGUCUUAACACAUCACUCUCCCAAUCUGUUCAGUUCUCCAGUGUCAAAGGCGACAAUAAUCAUGACAUGGAGUUAUCAACUCUUAAAAUCAUGGAAAUGAGCGUUGAGGACUGCCCUUUGGAUAUUUAAUCUUCAUUAAUAAAUAACUCAAAUGGCCAGUAA
RNAcentral lists this small RNA (2367 nucleotides) under Pongo abelii (Sumatran orangutan). RNAcentral describes it as "retained intron". The record is from RNAcentral. Lineage: Eukaryota; Metazoa; Chordata; Mammalia; Primates; Hominidae.